Molecule: non-coding RNA, 3568 nt
Organism: Aegilops tauschii subsp. strangulata
Lineage: Eukaryota; Viridiplantae; Streptophyta; Magnoliopsida; Poales; Poaceae
Source: RefSeq, a predicted model, not a curated record
ACCCUAUCUAUCACCACACCAUUCUCCCACUCCCACUCCCACUCCAGUAGGCAAGCCGCCACGUUUCCCCACCAGAAAUGAAAUGAGAGAUCCACAUCACGACCGCCGCUUCUCCGGCGACGCGCGCCGGAGGCAUCUUCCUCGACGUCGACACCAUCUCCGGUGCAGGCGCGCCGGAGGCAUCUUCCAUCGACGUCCACGGCCAAGAGGCGCCUCGCUUCCGGACGUCACCAAAACUCCCGCCGACGGCCGGCGCUGGCUCCGGCGACAUCACACCAUGCCGUGUACGUACGGUGCGCCGACGCCUUUGUCUCGAUGGCCACCGUGCGUCGCUUCCCUUCCCGAGGCCGUCGACACCAACCAAGCCCCGGGCCUCACGCCACACGGAUCCGGUCACCGGCGGUCGCGCGGGUAUCCUGACCCGGAUCCGGUGACCCUUGGUGUGAAUACCGCCUCUUGUGCGAAACCAAGCACCUUCACCGGACGGGCCGCCCGUUAGCGGGCCGUAAUGCGCCCUGGGCCGAAUUCUUCUUCUCUCGUCUACAAAGCCCUAGCCGCGGCCGACGCCACUCCGCUCCGCUCCGCUCCACAGGCCGAGCGCUCGGCGGGGGCGGCGGAACCUCGCCGGCGACGACCUCCGCCCAUCGUUCACCUCUAUCUCAGGGGGUCGUCGGCGGCGUCGGCGGCGGAAGGAGGCAACCCUUUCCGCGUCGUCGGUUGGUUCCCUGCGGCGGAGGGGGCCGCCUCGUUGGUUGGAUCCCAGCGGUGGAGUGAGGCAAGCCAGUCCUCGUCGUUGGUUCGAUCCCGGCGGCGGAGGGAGGCAACCCCGUCCGCCUCGUUGGGUGGUUCCCGGCUGUGGUGGGAGUUAACCCUGUCUGCCUUGUCGGUUGCUUCCUUGUGAGACGUGCCUGCAGCUGCUUCCGGUAGGAGGUGAAGGGAGGCAGCAAAGUUACCUGGAGCAGGGGAGGCCAAAUCCUCCAAGCGAGCACAUUACUUGAGGAACCUCGCCGGUGACGACUGCGCCCAUUGGCCAUCGCAUCUGAGGGGUCGGCGGCGGCAGAGGGAGGCAAACCAGUCCGCAUCCUUGGUUGGUUCCCCGCAGUGGAAGGAGGCAACCCCGGCUGCCUUGUAGGUUUCUUCCUUGUGGCGUGGUGCCUGCAGCUUGUUCCUGUAGGAGGUGAAGAGAGACAUCAGAGUUACCUGGUGCAGGGUGCGAAAGGGGGAGGCUGAAUCCUCUUAAGCAAUCACAAUCAUGUCUACAAGUACAAAACAGGCUGAUCGGGAGCUGAAAAAGUUCCACGAUGCACAAUGUGAAGCAGAUAGAGCAGCUGUCGCCAAUUCUCUUAAGGCAAUUUUUGCUGAGACAGUUCUCCAUACAUUUCUGUUUCCUAUUGAGCCAACAGCUGCGGACUUUCAAAGUUUGUACCAGUUGAGGGAUGUGAGAUAUGUCAACAAUUCUUCUAUGCUUCUUUCCGUUACAAAAGAGGAUGGCAAGUCUGAGACCAAGGUUCCAGUCACGCCAAAACACCACAAAGAGCUUGAGAAACAGUCGUUCCAUUCGAUAUCGAUCCAAUGUGGUGAUGGAGCAGUUAUGGAGAUAUUAAUACGUGAAAGCGAUAAUUAUGUUGUCGCGUUUCGCGUGUAUUUCUCCAUUCAAGCUAAGGAUAUAACCCCAUGGAGAACUUUCCGGGAGCCGGUGCCUAUUCGACUGGGAAAAUCAGACCCAACAAAAUACUCCUCUAGCCAUGUGAAACUUGGAAGGGUGCAAUUUGGUUAAGGAAUUCUCCUGAGAAUCUUCAAUUUUCUUAAAGAUUUGCAGCUCCAUCCUGACCAAGAAAUCACAGAUGAAGGUCAGAGAUUAGUUUGCACUCUCUUCGUUCUGUUUGGUGAAGCACAGCGAUUUGCCAAGGCUAGGAAGUGGGUCAUUGAUGCUGUUGCUAGUGACAUUGCUCUGACCCUUAGUCCUCCAUUAGCUAAACUUUUCAGAGAUUGGAAGGGGAUGUCAAAAACUGGAAUGAGGCUAUACGUUGCUUUGUAUGAGGAAAGGAAUCUAUUCAUCAAAUACAAAGAAAGAUAUGGGAGUCAAGUUGACUACUUUAAUCCUUAUGAAGAUGUUGUCAAGGAGGCAAAGGAAGCAUGUAUAGAUAAGGAGCGGGAGCACCACAGAGCGAAUUUGUGCUUCCGGACAAGGCCAACUGCGGAGGUUGAUCUAUCAUUCUUGCUAGGUGGGGAGCUUUUGUUGGUUAAGUAUGACGAAGAAUUCUCCUGCAAGGCAUUAAUACGGGAAGGCAGUGAGUAUGAUGCUCCAUGGCCGGAUGCAAAAAAGGUGAUAUGGGAGUGAGGGACUGCAAUCCGAUGCCCUGGGAGUGAAUGAUACGCAAUACAUAAUUUUGUGCAUGCUGUAACUGGCUGCUCUGAACAUCUCAGUUUGUUAACUGAAUAUAUAAUAAGGGACGGAAUCGCAAUCUGAAUCCCUGUAAAGAUGUCUUUUUGUGUAGGCUGUGAAUUUGAUGCACGGUGUAAUUGGUUGCUGUCAACCUCUGAGUUUGUCAACUGAUUAUGUAUUGCGUCCUUUGUCCACUGAUGCCAGUAUGGAUGCGGUUGACAGUAAUAUUUCUUUAAAAAAUCUUUGUCUACUAAUGCGGUUAAAUCUAGUUUGUUAAUUGAUUAUGCAUUGCGUCUUUUGUCCACUAAUGCCAGUAUGAUGCGGUUGACAGUAAUAUUUUAAAAAUUCUUUGUCCACAACAGUAUGGAUGCGGUUGACAAAAAGUAAAAGAGUUUUUUAUUUUCGUUGUUUUUCCUCAGUUUUGUUGCACACUGGUUUUGGGGCUUUUGUCAUUCGACCUACAAAAGUGUCCUGCAACACACUGGCCAAUUAAGUGUAUCUGUAAUGCUUGAAGAAAUUUUAAACAUUUGCACCAUUAGUGGACAAACUACAAGCCCAGGGAUUCAGAUUUGCUUGACAACACAUUUUAAAGAAACGGUCAAAAUACGCACUAAUUCAAGUCUUUCUGUCCCACUACUCAGAUUCAGAUUUGCUUAACUGCAUUGCUUGAUCACCACAUUCUAAAAAGCGGUCAAGCAUGAUCACAGAAACAGACGCCAAUUUGCUUGACAACACACAUCAUAAAUCAUAACUGGUACAAUCUCCAACUCAAUGUCUCCAGUAACUGGUAUUCACAAAUACCAUCAUAACUGGUACUAAAUUCACCAGAAUCAAAGGACGGCAUCAUAACUGGUACUAAAUUCACCAGAAUCAAAGGACAGCAUCAUAACUGGUUGGUGUUGUUGUCUCCUAGCCAUAACAUCUUCGUGCCGAGAUGUCCCACUUCUCAGAAAUGAGACUGGACCAUGCAACAGUAAUCUCCAACUCAAUGUCUCCAGUAAGUUUACAUGUUUGCUGGCUUAUGUUGCAAAACUUGGGCUUCAAGGACUCAUUUUUUUGUGCAAUUAUAUCACCAGAAUCUGAGUAGGCUUCCAAUACAAAAUUCAGGCUUCCACAAAAGUCUACAGAUACAACAUUCCUUGAUAGAACAAGGUAACGCUGAGAAGUCAUCGGCAUGGCUCU